GUGUCCUCACCAGCAUGUAUGCUAAAAUUGGAAUAUACAGAGAAGAAUAACGUGACCCCUGGGUAAUGAUGACAUGUAAAUUUGUGAAGGAUUCCGUUUCUUA
Molecule: small nuclear RNA, 103 nt
Organism: Pristis pectinata (smalltooth sawfish)
Lineage: Eukaryota; Metazoa; Chordata; Chondrichthyes; Rhinopristiformes; Pristidae
Source: RefSeq, a predicted model, not a curated record